GACGAACGCUGGCGGCGUGCUUAACACAUGCAAGUCGAGCGGAAAGGCCCUUUCGGGGGUACUCGAGCGGCGAACGGGUGAGUAACACGUGAGUAAUCUGCCCCUGGCUUUGGGAUAGCCACCGGAAACGGUGAUUAAUACCGGAUACGACCACUUCUCGCAUGGGAUGGUGGUGGAAAGUUUUUCGGCCAGGGAUGUGCUCGCGGCCUAUCAGCUUGAUGGUGAGGUAAUGGCUCACCAUGGCUUCGACGGGUAGCCGGCCUGAGAGGGUGACCGGUCACACUGGGACUGAGACACGGCCCAGACUCCUACGGGGGGCAGCAGUGGGGAAUAUUGGACAAUGGGCGGAAGCCUGGUCCAGCAACGCCGCGUGAGGGAUGACGGCCUUCGGGUUGUAAACCUCUUUCAGCAGGGACGAAGCGCAAGUGACGGUACCUGCAGAAGAAGCACCGGCCAACUACGUGCCAGCCGCCGCAGUAA
RNAcentral lists this ribosomal RNA (480 nucleotides) under uncultured bacterium. RNAcentral describes it as "partial 16S ribosomal RNA". It matches the Rfam family "Bacterial small subunit ribosomal RNA", at positions 28 to 523 of the family's 1533-position model. The record is from RNAcentral.